GGCGUAGGAGGCGAGCGUUGUCCGGAUUCAUUGGGCGUAAAGAGCACGCAGGCGGUUUGGCAAGUCGGAUGUGAAAACCCGGAGCUCAACUCCGGACCUGCAUCCGAAACUGCCCGACUAGAGGUAGGUAGGGGAGAUCGGAAUUCCUGGUGUAGCGGUGAAAUGCGCAGAUAUCAGGAGGAACACCGGUGGCGAAGGCGGAUCUCUGGGCCUUACCUGACGCUCAGGUGCGAAAGCUAGGGGAGCGAACAGG
Molecule: ribosomal RNA, 253 nt
Filed under: uncultured bacterium
Lineage: Bacteria
Description: partial 16S ribosomal RNA
Rfam family: Bacterial small subunit ribosomal RNA
Source: RNAcentral